AAAAAGACACCUUUGUGUCUCAUUUUUUGACUUCUAGCUUUUAGAUUGAAACAUUUGGGUGGGGCCCUCUCAUUCUGUACCUGACAACUAGGCAAAUCCACUCCAAAAAGAUGGUGUUGAAGAAGGCUUGUGAUCCUGAGGAAAGGCAGGCAGAACUGCUGCAGAUCGCGCUCUACAGAAUCUGGAUUUACCUACAGGGCAGGAAGCAAUUACUAAAUUCUGUCCCAGGUUGCCUGCUUUUCCAGGAAAGGAGUCCAUCAGAGCAACCACCACGGUUUAUCCAGGAAGGCUUCAAUUUCACAGGAAGGAAAGCUGCACUUACUCAAAAUCAUUGCAACAAAGUCAAGAUUGAAAGGAUAGAGAUACAGACUUAAAUCUGAAAGUCAGUUUUGGAACUAUAUUCAUUGAGAAGCUUUUACGUCUCAUCACAUACCGAAACUUGCAAAAAUUGCACACCCAGAAACAAAACAGUGGACUUCUGUGAAGCAGAAACAAAUUAUUACAUGGAAAGCAGAAGCACCUGUUACAUUCCUACCAGAAAUACAUAAGCAAAAUUUCGUAAAUGUUUUAAUAAACUAACCAACCUUU
Chiroxiphia lanceolata (lance-tailed manakin) is the source of this 588-nucleotide long non-coding RNA. RefSeq lists it as uncharacterized. The record is from RefSeq and is a predicted model, not a curated record. NCBI's taxonomy places the organism in Eukaryota, Metazoa, Chordata, Aves, Passeriformes, Pipridae. The transcript is spliced from 2 exons.